This 468-nucleotide ribosomal RNA is filed under the name uncultured bacterium. RNAcentral describes it as "partial 16S ribosomal RNA". It matches the Rfam family "Bacterial small subunit ribosomal RNA", at positions 28 to 507 of the family's 1533-position model. The record is from RNAcentral.
GACGAACGCUGGCGGCGUGCUUAACACAUGCAAGUCGAACGGAAAGGCCCUGCUUUUGUGGGGUGCUCGAGUGGCGAACGGGUGAGUAACACGUGAGUAACCUGCCCUUGACUUUGGGAUAACUUCAGGAAACUGGGGCUAAUACCGGAUAGGAGCUCCUGCUGCAUGGUGGGGGUUGGAAAGUUUCGGCGGUUGGGGAUGGACUCGCGGCUUAUCAGCUUGUUGGUGGGGUAGUGGCUUACCAAGGCUUUGACGGGUAGCCGGCCUGAGAGGGUGACCGGCCACAGUGGGACUGAGAUACGGACCAGACUCCUACGGGAGGCAGUAGUGGGGAAUAUUGCAGAAUGGGCGGAAGCCUGAUGCAGCAACGCCGCGUGCGGGAUGACGGCCUUCGGGUUGUAAACCGCUUUCGCAUGUGACGAAGCGUGAGUGACGGUAAUGGGUAAAGAAGCACCGGCUAACUACGUG